AGUGAACGCUGGCGGUAGGCCUAACACAUGCAAGUCGAACGGCAGCGCAGUAAGAGCUUGCUCUUACGGGUGGCGAGUGGCGGACGGGUGAGGAAUACAUCGGAAUCUACUUUUUCGUGGGGGAUAACGUAGGGAAACUUACGCUAAUACCGCAUACGACCUACGGGUGAAAGCAGGGGAUCUUCGGACCUUGCGCGAUUGAAUGAGCCGAUGUCGGAUUAGCUAGUUGGCGGGGUAAAGGCCCACCAAGGCGACGAUCCGUAGCUGAUCUGAGAGGAUGAUCAGCCACACUGGAACUGAGACACGGUCCAGACUCCUACGGGAGGCAGCAGUGGGGAAUAUUGGACAAUGGGCGCAAGCCUGAUCCAGCCAUACCGCGUGGGUGAAGAAGGCCUUCGGGUUGUAAAGCCCUUUUGUUGGGAAAGAAAAGCAGCAGGUUAAUACCCCGCUGUUCUGACGGUACCCAAAGAAUAAGCACCGGCUAACUUCG
RNAcentral lists this ribosomal RNA (490 nucleotides) under uncultured bacterium. RNAcentral's name for it is "partial 16S ribosomal RNA". It matches the Rfam family "Bacterial small subunit ribosomal RNA", at positions 29 to 505 of the family's 1533-position model. The record is from RNAcentral.